Molecule: ribosomal RNA, 2900 nt
Filed under: Klebsiella pneumoniae
Lineage: Bacteria; Pseudomonadati; Pseudomonadota; Gammaproteobacteria; Enterobacterales; Enterobacteriaceae
Also listed under: 1 other name
Description: bacterial LSU rRNA
Rfam family: Bacterial large subunit ribosomal RNA
Source: RNAcentral
UUAAGCGACUAAGCGUACACGGUGGAUGCCCUGGCAGUCAGAGGCGAUGAAGGACGUGCUAAUCUGCGAAAAGCGUCGGUAAGGUGAUAUGAACCGUUAUAACCGGCGAUGUCCGAAUGGGGAAACCCAGUGCAAUUCGUUGCACUAUCGUUAACUGAAUACAUAGGUUAACGAGGCGAACCGGGGGAACUGAAACAUCUAAGUACCCCGAGGAAAAGAAAUCAACCGAGAUUCCCCCAGUAGCGGCGAGCGAACGGGGAGCAGCCCAGAGUCUGAAUCAGCUUGUGUGUUAGUGGAACGGUCUGGAAAGUCCGACGGUACAGGGUGAUAGUCCCGUACACCAAAAUGCACAGGUUGUGAACUCGAAGAGUAGGGCGGGACACGUGGUAUCCUGUCUGAAUAUGGGGGGACCAUCCUCCAAGGCUAAAUACUCCUGACUGACCGAUAGUGAACCAGUACCGUGAGGGAAAGGCGAAAAGAACCCCGGCGAGGGGAGUGAAAAAGAACCUGAAACCGUGUACGUACAAGCAGUGGGAGCACCUUCGGGUGUGACUGCGUACCUUUUGUAUAAUGGGUCAGCGACUUAUAUUCUGUAGCAAGGUUAACCGUAUAGGGGAGCCGCAGGGAAACCGAGUCUUAACUGGGCGUUAAGUUGCAGGGUAUAGACCCGAAACCCGGUGAUCUAGCCAUGGGCAGGUUGAAGGUUGGGUAACACUAACUGGAGGACCGAACCGACUAAUGUUGAAAAAUUAGCGGAUGACUUGUGGCUGGGGGUGAAAGGCCAAUCAAACCGGGAGAUAGCUGGUUCUCCCCGAAAGCUAUUUAGGUAGCGCCUCGUGAACUCAUCUUCGGGGGUAGAGCACUGUUUCGGCUAGGGGGUCAUCCCGACUUACCAACCCGAUGCAAACUACGAAUACCGAAGAAUGUUAUCACGGGAGACACACGGCGGGUGCUAACGUCCGUCGUGAAGAGGGAAACAACCCAGACCGCCAGCUAAGGUCCCAAAGUCAUGGUUAAGUGGGAAACGAUGUGGGAAGGCACAGACAGCCAGGAUGUUGGCUUAGAAGCAGCCAUCAUUUAAAGAAAGCGUAAUAGCUCACUGGUCGAGUCGGCCUGCGCGGAAGAUGUAACGGGGCUAAACCAUGCACCGAAGCUGCGGCAGCGACACUAUGUGUUGUUGGGUAGGGGAGCGUUCUGUAAGCCUGCGAAGGUGUGCUGUGAGGCAUGCUGGAGGUAUCAGAAGUGCGAAUGCUGACAUAAGUAACGAUAAAGCGGGUGAAAAGCCCGCUCGCCGGAAGACCAAGGGUUCCUGUCCAACGUUAAUCGGGGCAGGGUGAGUCGACCCCUAAGGCGAGGCCGAAAGGCGUAGUCGAUGGGAAACAGGUUAAUAUUCCUGUACUUGGUGUUACUGCGAAGGGGGGACGGAGAAGGCUAUGUUAGCCGGGCGACGGUUGUCCCGGUUUAAGCAUGUAGGCUGGUUAUCCAGGCAAAUCCGGAUAAUCAAGGCUGAGGUGUGAUGACGAGGCACUACGGUGCUGAAGUAACAAAUGCCCUGCUUCCAGGAAAAGCCUCUAAGCAUCAGGUAACAUCAAAUCGUACCCCAAACCGACACAGGUGGUCAGGUAGAGAAUACCAAGGCGCUUGAGAGAACUCGGGUGAAGGAACUAGGCAAAAUGGUGCCGUAACUUCGGGAGAAGGCACGCUGGUGUGUAGGUGAAGUCCCUGCGGAUGGAGCUGAGACCAGUCGAAGAUACCAGCUGGCUGCAACUGUUUAUUAAAAACACAGCACUGUGCAAACACGAAAGUGGACGUAUACGGUGUGACGCCUGCCCGGUGCCGGAAGGUUAAUUGAUGGGGUUAUCCGUAAGGAGAAGCUCUUGAUCGAAGCCCCGGUAAACGGCGGCCGUAACUAUAACGGUCCUAAGGUAGCGAAAUUCCUUGUCGGGUAAGUUCCGACCUGCACGAAUGGCGUAAUGAUGGCCAGGCUGUCUCCACCCGAGACUCAGUGAAAUUGAACUCGCUGUGAAGAUGCAGUGUACCCGCGGCAAGACGGAAAGACCCCGUGAACCUUUACUAUAGCUUGACACUGAACAUUGAGCCUUGAUGUGUAGGAUAGGUGGGAGGCUUUGAAGCGUGGACGCCAGUCUGCGUGGAGCCAACCUUGAAAUACCACCCUUUAAUGUUUGAUGUUCUAACGUUGGCCCCUGACCGGGGUUGCGGACAGUGUCUGGUGGGUAGUUUGACUGGGGCGGUCUCCUCCCAAAGCGUAACGGAGGAGCACGAAGGUUAGCUAAUCCUGGUCGGACAUCAGGAGGUUAGUGCAAUGGCAUAAGCUAGCUUGACUGCGAGCGUGACGGCGCGAGCAGGUGCGAAAGCAGGUCAUAGUGAUCCGGUGGUUCUGAAUGGAAGGGCCAUCGCUCAACGGAUAAAAGGUACUCCGGGGAUAACAGGCUGAUACCGCCCAAGAGUUCAUAUCGACGGCGGUGUUUGGCACCUCGAUGUCGGCUCAUCACAUCCUGGGGCUGAAGUAGGUCCCAAGGGUAUGGCUGUUCGCCAUUUAAAGUGGUACGCGAGCUGGGUUUAGAACGUCGUGAGACAGUUCGGUCCCUAUCUGCCGUGGGCGCUGGAGAAUUGAGGGGGGCUGCUCCUAGUACGAGAGGACCGGAGUGGACGCAUCACUGGUGUUCGGGUUGUCAUGCCAAUGGCACUGCCCGGUAGCUAAAUGCGGAAGAGAUAAGUGCUGAAAGCAUCUAAGCACGAAACUUGCCCCGAGAUGAGUUCUCCCUGAGACUUUAAGUCUCCUGAAGGAACGUUGAAGACGACGACGUUGAUAGGCCGGGUGUGUAAGCGCAGCGAUGCGUUGAGCUAACCGGUACUAAUGAACCGUGAGGCUUAACCUU